RNAcentral lists this ribosomal RNA (407 nucleotides) under uncultured bacterium. RNAcentral describes it as "bacterial SSU rRNA". It matches the Rfam family "Bacterial small subunit ribosomal RNA", at positions 355 to 776 of the family's 1533-position model. The record is from RNAcentral.
UGGGGAAUCUUCCGCAAUGGACGAAAGUCUGACGGAGCAACGCCGCGUGGGUGAUGAAGGCCUUCGGGUUGUAAAGCCCUGUCUUCAGGGAAGAAAAAAAUGACGGUACCUGAGGAGGAAGCCACGGCUAACUACGUGCCAGCAGCCGCGGUAAUACGUAGGUGGCAAGCGUUGUCCGGAAUCAUUGGGCGUAAAGGGCGCGUAGGUGGAUUUUUAAGUCAGAUGUGAAAUAUGCGGGCUUAACCCGGAGUAUGCAUCUGAUACUGGAAGUCUUGAGUGCAGGAGAGGACAGUGGAAUUCCUAGUGUAGCGGUGAAAUGCGUAGAUAUUAGGAGGAACACCAGUGGCGAAGGCGGCUGUCUGGACUGUAACUGACACUGAGGCGCGAAAGCGUGGGGAGCAAACAGG